RNAcentral lists this unclassified non-coding RNA (400 nucleotides) under uncultured fungus. Its description in RNAcentral is "sequence contains ITS1". The record is from RNAcentral. Lineage: Eukaryota; Fungi.
GCCGUCAAUUCAUUUGAGUUUUAAUCUUGCGACCGUACUCCCCAGGCGGUCGAUUUCACGCGUUAGCUUCGCUACUAAGCAGUCAUGCUGCCCAACAGCUAAUCGACAUCGUUUAGGGCGUGGACUACCAGGGUAUCUAAUCCUGUUUGCUACCCACGCAUUCGGGCAUGAACGUCAGUGUUAUCCCAGGAGGCUGCCUUCGCCAUCGGUAUUCCUCCACAUCUCUACGCAUUUCACUGCUACACGUGGAAUUCUACCUCCCUCUGACACACUCUAGUCACCCAGUUCAGAACGCAGUUCCCAGGUUGAGCCCGGGGAUUUCACAUCCUGCUUAAGUAACCGUCUGCGCCCGCUUUACGCCCAGUAAUUCCGAUUAACGCUCGCACCCUACGUAUUACCG